This 1060-nucleotide long non-coding RNA is filed under the name Cyanistes caeruleus (blue tit). RNAcentral describes it as "lncRNA (ENSCCEG00000002946.1)". The record is from RNAcentral. Lineage: Eukaryota; Metazoa; Chordata; Aves; Passeriformes; Paridae.
GCUGAUCAGUGUUAAAGCCCUCUAGCUUAAGAAUAAGAGAUGAAAAAAAGAAUAAUAAUUAAAAUCUUGUUUCAGUUUCUAUGUAAACAGGUUGCUAGCCCUUAUGACUGUAGAGAAAUGCAUGAAAAAUUAACCCAAAUAUACCCAAGAGACUAAAGAGACAGAAGUCAAAACUGUCCUUUCCAUAAAAAUAAGUGUAAGGUUUUAGGCUCUGAGUCAUGCAUUUUUAGCAUUUUGGUCUUGGCAAUAUAUUUGACUAACUGAAGGUACUGGUCCAGACUCUGAACGUGGAAGACAAUUAGGUUGAAAAUUAGAAUGAAGAGAUAGAGUCCAUGAUUGUGAGGUAAUAAAGGAGUGCCUGUAGCAAAACCAUGACAAUGGAUUUCAAAAAAGAAACAGUUUGUCACCCUCUGGAAGCUGAAUAGGUUGAUAUGGUAGUAAUGGAAGGAUUCUCAAUAAAAAUAAAAAUAAGAAAUGGAACUGAGGGCAACAGCUAAUUUCCAUGAUGCAGAACAUAAAGAAUGAAUGUGGAAGCAAGAUAACUGACCAAGGAAGCAGAAGAGAGGCUGAAGACCUUUUUUUUUUUUUUCCUUUUGCAAAGGCAUAUAGCCACAUGAAAUCUCGUCAGAAAAUUGCAGAGAAAUAUUGUAGAUUAAACAAGCACUAAUGGGGAAGAAAACCUUUUCUCAGACGAACUUCAUCUGAUAAUUCCAACGGCCAAGAUCUCCGGGCAGUUUGUGUGGUGUUCAGCAAGAUGUCAUAUUUAUCGGAGCUAUAGAAGACAUUUAUUGCUUCAUACACUGGGAUCUCUCUUGGGAUUCCUAUUGAAAUACAUGCCAUUAAAUCACCUUCAGCAAGUUGCUGCACUGAUGUCCAUGGGGCAUCUGCCAAAAAGCAGAGGCUUAGGCUGAGUGUAAUACCAAAUGAUUUGGUUUGACUCUGACUGUGUUCAGAAAAGUUCCAAGGGGAAAAAAAAACAAAAGCAAAAGUAAAAAAAAUCUAAAGUUUAAAUUUCUUAGUCAAACUUCCAUUAACAAUUAAAUGUGUUUUAGAUAUGCAG